UACGUAGGGUGCAAGCGUUGUCCGGAAUUAUUGGGCGUAAAGAGCUCGUAGGCGGUUUGUCGCGUCGAAUGUGAAAACCCGGGGCUCAACCCCGGGCCUGCAUUCGAUACGGGCAGACUAGAGUUCGGUAGGGGAGUCUGGAAUUCCUGGUGUAGCGGUGGAAUGCGCAGAUAUCAGGAGGAACACCGAUGGCGAAGGCAGAUCUCUGGGCCGUAACUGACGCUGAGGAGCGAAAGCGUGGGGAGCGAACAGG
This 253-nucleotide ribosomal RNA is filed under the name uncultured bacterium. RNAcentral describes it as "partial 16S ribosomal RNA". It matches the Rfam family "Bacterial small subunit ribosomal RNA", at positions 524 to 776 of the family's 1533-position model. The record is from RNAcentral.